Molecule: long non-coding RNA, 214 nt
Filed under: Capsicum annuum
Lineage: Eukaryota; Viridiplantae; Streptophyta; Magnoliopsida; Solanales; Solanaceae
Description: long non-coding RNA (CANN_LNC011210)
Source: RNAcentral
AAGGAGUAAAGGUCAUUUUCAAGGUGGUCAAAUCCAAUGAUCAACGACCUUCGCCUAGGUUAGAGAGUGAUGAUGAUUCCCAUGAAAAUUGAUCAGCUGAUGAUACCGGUGGUGAUCGUGAAGAGUCAAUAGAAGAGGACACCAUCUGAUGCAGAUUCAGGGAGACCCCUUUUGUUCUUACUUUAUUGCACAUGCAGUGAGGACACUAUUUUCU